Molecule: ribosomal RNA, 433 nt
Filed under: uncultured bacterium
Lineage: Bacteria
Description: partial 16S ribosomal RNA
Rfam family: Bacterial small subunit ribosomal RNA
Source: RNAcentral
AACGAACGCUGGCGGCAUGCCUAACACAUGCAAGUCGAACGAGACCUUCGGGUCUAGUUGCGCACGGGUGCGUAACGCGUGGGAACCUGCCCUUAGGUUCGGAAUAACUCCCCGAAAGGGGUGCUAAUACCGGAUAAUGUCUUCGGACCAAAGAUUUAUCGCCUUUGGAUGGGCCCGCGUUGGAUUAGCUAGUUGGUAGGGUAAAAGCCUACCAAGGCGACGAUCCAUAGCUGGUCUGAGAGGAUGAUCAGCCACACUGGGACUGAGACACGGCCCAGACUCCUACGGGAGGCAGCAGUGGGGAAUAUUGGACAAUGGGCGAAAGCCUAAUACAGCAAUGCCGCGUGAGUGAUGAAGGCCUUAGGGUUGUAAAGCUCUUUUACCCGGGAUGAUAAUGACAGUACCGGGAGAAUAAGCCCCGGCUAACUCCGUG